GAUGAACGCUGGCGGCGUGCCUAAUACAUGCAAGUCGAACGCAUAGCGAAAGGUGCUUGCACCUUUCAAGUGAGUGGCGAACGGGUGAGUAACACGUGGACAACCUGCCUCAAGGCUGGGGAUAACAUUUGGAAACAGAUGCUAAUACCGAAUAAAACUUAGUGUCGCAUGACACAAAGUUAAAAGGCGCUUCGGCGUCACCUAGAGAUGGAUCCGCGGUGCAUUAGUUAGUUGGUGGGGUAAAGGCCUACCAAGACAAUGAUGCAUAGCCGAGUUGAGAGACUGAUCGGCCACAUUGGGUCUGAGACACGGCCCAAACUCCUACGGGAGGCUGCAGUAGGGAAUCUUCCACAAUGGGCGAAAGCCUGAUGGAGCAACGCCGCGUGUGUGAUGAAGGCUUUCGGGUCGUAAAGCACUGUUGUAUGGGAAGAACAGCUAGAAUAGGAAAUGAUUUUAGUUUGACGGUACCAUACCAGAAAGGGACGGCUAAAUACGUG
Molecule: ribosomal RNA, 497 nt
Filed under: uncultured bacterium
Lineage: Bacteria
Description: partial 16S ribosomal RNA
Rfam family: Bacterial small subunit ribosomal RNA
Source: RNAcentral